CAGCCGCGGUAAUACGUAGGUGGCAAGCGUUGUCCGGAUUUAUUGGGCGUAAAGCGCGCGCAGGCGGUCUUUUAAGUCUGAUGUGAAAGCCCCCGGCUUAACCGGGGAGGGUCAUUGGAAACUGGAAGACUGGAGUGCAGAAGAGGAGGUGGAAUUCCACGUGUAGCGGUGAAAUGCGUAGAUAUGUGGAGGAACACCAGUGGCGAAGGCGACUCUCUGGUCUGUAACUGACGCUGAGGC
RNAcentral lists this ribosomal RNA (240 nucleotides) under uncultured Listeria sp. RNAcentral describes it as "partial 16S ribosomal RNA". It matches the Rfam family "Bacterial small subunit ribosomal RNA", at positions 512 to 752 of the family's 1533-position model. Lineage: Bacteria; Bacillati; Bacillota; Bacilli; Caryophanales; Listeriaceae. The record is from RNAcentral.